UCUGAUGACAGCUACAGUGUACUUAUAUA
RNAcentral lists this non-coding RNA (29 nucleotides) under Rattus norvegicus (Norway rat). Lineage: Eukaryota; Metazoa; Chordata; Mammalia; Rodentia; Muridae. The record is from RNAcentral.